RNAcentral lists this long non-coding RNA (221 nucleotides) under Elaeis guineensis (African oil palm). RNAcentral's name for it is "long non-coding RNA (EGUI_LNC047495)". The record is from RNAcentral. Lineage: Eukaryota; Viridiplantae; Streptophyta; Magnoliopsida; Arecales; Arecaceae.
GAAGGUCCUCAUCGAAGCAAAAACCUUCGAUUUAGACUUAUUUUGCAAGUCACUCCAGUGCCAACAUCCCUACGUGAGGCUCAAUCGCCUUCUCUCCGACCUCAACCAAAUCAAGCAGCAACAGAUAGAGGAAGGGCAUAAUCUUCAUUAUGCCUCCAAAGCAAAUAUCAUUUAGGAUCUCCAACACCUCCACCUCUCGUCGGGUGGAGAGCCAAGCCAAC